Molecule: ribosomal RNA, 423 nt
Filed under: uncultured prokaryote
Description: bacterial SSU rRNA
Rfam family: Bacterial small subunit ribosomal RNA
Source: RNAcentral
UGGGGAAUUUUCCGCAAUGGGCGCAAGCCUGACGGAGCAAGACCGCGUGAGGGAGGAAGGCCCUUGGGUUGUAAACCUCUUUUCUCAGGGAAGAAGCAAGUGACGGUACCUGAGGAAUCAGCCUCGGCUAACUCCGUGCCAGCAGCCGCGGUAAUACGGAGGGGACUAGCGUUGUUCGGAAUUACUGGGCGUAAAGCGCGCGUAGGCGGACUAUUAAGUCAGGGGUGAAAUCCCGGGGCUCAACCCCGGAACUGCCCUUGAUACUGGUAGUCUUGAGUUCGAGAGAGGUGAGUGGAAUUCCGAGUGUAGAGGUGAAAUUCGUAGAUAUUCGGAGGAACACCAGUGGCGAAGGCGGCUCACUGGCUCGAUACUGACGCUGAGGUGCGAAAGCGUGGGGAGCAAACAGGAUUAGAUACCCGCGUA